UUCUUUUCUCCUCUUUUUUCUGCCAUUCACAUUACCCCCCCACUCAUUAUCUCCCCCCCCAACCCCGUCUGGGGUCACCUCGAAGGAGGACAGGGCUAACACUCUCUUUGUUCUGCACAUCGCGCACAAACCCCAUUCACUCUGCCGGGCAUGAGGGCAUGCGGGGUGGGGGAUAUGGAAAAGAGUGAGUGGCCCCCCUGCCCCUUUCCUCCUUAAGUGGGACUUGGAUGGAACUCCCUGGCUCAGUGGCACCCCGAGAAGUAGCAGGGACCCAGGCUGAGCCCGCCCUGCUCCCUUCUAGGGCUCACCCCCUCUCUCUCUGAGCGCUCCAGAGUGAGAGAUUGUGAGGAUGAGAAUGGAGGGGGAUGAGGUAGUGAGGAAGCUAAGAGAGGGACGGCCUUUCUCUACCCCCCUUCCCCACCCCCCACCCCAGAUGUGGCCAGUGGUAGUUCCACUGAAAGGAAGCGCAUUCCAGAGGGAACCGGCGCCAAAACCAGGAACCCCGUUCCCAGCCGGUCCAGGUUCCCCGGCCAUUCUCCAUGCAAAACAGACUCGGGACUCAUCUUCUGCACUGUUUUUCUUGUCCAGGAACAGGACUGUGUUUUUGUUUGAACAUUUUGUAACGAUUAAGAGAGAUUAGGUCUUUUCUCCCCUCCCCCUUCCGCUGUCAGCCUCAAACAGGCAUAAAGUGCGACCCCAAGUGGCCGCUUUGGGGAAAAGCCGUGGGGAGAAAAAAGUGCUGGAGAGGAUGGUAGCGGAAGGGACCAGGGCACCCUGCUGGCGAAAGGUACGGGCACCAAAACCCAGUUAGGAGGCUAAGAGUGGAGCCCGUCAGCCCACAGAGACGGCGUAGCCCACAGGCCCCGGCCCCCUCCGUUUUUUCCUAAAUGUCAUCAGAGAGUCCUUCCCAGAGCCAUCUGUCCAUGCGGCCCUCCACCUGAGCGAGCGCCGGCUACUUUUACUUUCCCACACUUUUGGGAUGUUUUGUUGCGAGCUGCUCAGGCUGAGAUACAGACCGCCCUCCAAUCCCCUUAAGAAAACCACUCAGCACCCCAGCUCUCCUUCAAGGACUCCUUCACAUCAAUACUCUUUGCCCAUUGCUUGGAGUUCUUGCCUCUUUUAACCUUUUUGCCUUAAUUGCUAAUCCGAUUUCCCCGCAGAAAAGUAGCCUCUCACUUCCAAAGGGGCCCACUACAGUCUAAGAGAGCUAGAGAAAGGCUUAGCCACGAGUAAACUCUCAGUUUUCAACCUGCUCACCCUACUGGCCCUCGGUACCCAGAUUCCCUCUUCUUUGCACACCUCGGCCUGAUUUAUUCAGGAGACUCCAGCGCCCUAGGCGCAAAGACUUGGGAGAAAUGCGCAAUUCCAUCCAGAGCCAAGGACCUGGGCGAGUUCACUCCCUCCAUCCCCGAGAAGUCUGUCAGCAGUCAACGAGUCCUGAGCAAACGUGUGCGUGUCAUACAAUGUGUCCGAAGCAGUAUGCACAAUGUGGACUGGACAAAUGCGUGUCAGACGAGCUCGGAGCGAGUGUGUCAUGUACACAAGGUGAAAAUAUGCGUCAGACAACCUGUACGGAGAGUGUGUAACAGGCCGAGUGUACAGAACGGGUGUGCAUCACAACGUGUAAAGGGCCAGAAUAUAUGUUUUGGGCAGCUGUUCAGCGCUAUUUCAUGAUUUAAUAUCAAGACAGUCACGGAACAAGAAUGCACAGUCCGCACUUUUUGCUUAAAGUAUUUUUCAAGCUCCUUUUUGAUCUAAUGGUUGGGCUUGCAGCAUCUCCAAUCUUAGAGCAAAGAUGGAAAGAGCAAGGAAGCUGAGGAUCCAAAGGAGAAGGGACUCAGAACAAAGCCUGCUUCCUUGCUGAGCACAGAGAUCUCCAUGCUUGGUGUACAACAUGUUCCAAGUGCCAAGGCAUGAACCACCUCUCCUCUUGCUUUGUACUGGAAGCCUCCCCUGUAGUGAUGCCCCUUGAGCACCUGAAGACUGGAGGGAGUUAAAGGAAGAGAGCUGCGUACUCAAAGCUAUAAUUCACCACAGAAGAAAGGCCAGAGCAUUGCUAUGGACUUCCAUCACUGGACAGGGAAUUCAUUUUGCUCUCCAAGUGCAAAUCAUCAGAGUUCACAUUUCUAUCAUGCUCUGAGGUUUGUAACCAACAUUUUCUUCAAAACAACUCUGUGAAGGUGACGGUGCAAGUAUUAUUAUUCCCAUUUUACAGAUGAAGAAACAAGACCUGAGAGAUAAACUGACUAUGUCAAAAACAGCCCCUGAAUGUAACAUAACACUUCAUUUUGCUACUUUAUAACAUAGGUACUAGUCAGGUGGUCAGUCAAUAAACAUUUAUUAAGUACUUACUCCAUGUCAGGCACAGUGCUAAGCCCUGGGGAUACAA
Long non-coding RNA from Vombatus ursinus (common wombat), 2389 nucleotides. RefSeq lists it as uncharacterized. The transcript has 3 exons. The record is from RefSeq and is a predicted model, not a curated record. Lineage: Eukaryota; Metazoa; Chordata; Mammalia; Diprotodontia; Vombatidae.